Molecule: ribosomal RNA, 380 nt
Filed under: Proteus mirabilis
Lineage: Bacteria; Pseudomonadati; Pseudomonadota; Gammaproteobacteria; Enterobacterales; Morganellaceae
Description: bacterial SSU rRNA
Rfam family: Bacterial small subunit ribosomal RNA
Source: RNAcentral
ACGAUGUCGAUUUAUAGGUUGUGGUCUUGAACCGUGGCUUCUGGAGCUAACGCGUUAAAUCGACCGCCUGGGGAGUACGGCCGCAAGGUUAAAACUCAAAUGAAUUGACGGGGGCCCGCACAAGCGGUGGAGCAUGUGGUUUAAUUCGAUGCAACGCGAAGAACCUUACCUACUCUUGACAUCCAGCGAAUCCUUUAGAGAUAGAGGAGUGCCUUCGGGAACGCUGAGACAGGUGCUGCAUGGCUGUCGUCAGCUCGUGUUGUGAAAUGUUGGGUUAAGUCCCGCAACGAGCGCAACCCUUAUCCUUUGUUGCCAGCACGUAAUGGUGGGAACUCAAAGGAGACUGCCGGUGAUAAACCGGAGGAAGGUGGGGAUGACGU